UACGUAGGGUGCGAGCGUUGUCCGGAAUUACUGGGCGUAAAGAGCUUGUAGGUGGUUUGUCGCGUUGUUCGUGAAAUCUCACGGCUUAACUGUGAGCGUGCGGGCGAUACGGGCAGACUAGAGUACUGCAGGGGAGACUGGAAUUCUUGGUGUAGCGGUGGAAUGCGCAGAUAUCAGGAGGAACACCGGUGGCGAAGGCGGGUCUCUGGGCAGUAACUGACGCUGAGAAGCGAAAGCGUGGGGAGCGAACAGG
RNAcentral lists this ribosomal RNA (253 nucleotides) under uncultured bacterium. Its description in RNAcentral is "partial 16S ribosomal RNA". It matches the Rfam family "Bacterial small subunit ribosomal RNA", at positions 524 to 776 of the family's 1533-position model. The record is from RNAcentral.